Molecule: microRNA, 22 nt
Filed under: Magallana gigas (Pacific oyster)
Lineage: Eukaryota; Metazoa; Mollusca; Bivalvia; Ostreida; Ostreidae
Description: Mgi-Mir-67-P4_5p* (star (passenger))
Source: RNAcentral
CCUUGUUCAGUUGGGUUGUUGC